AAAUUUUCAUUUUUAAUAAUAAUUAUUUUCUUACAUUAUUAUUAUUCUUUCAUUUUAGGAAAAAAAUAUAAUCAUGAUCUUCAGAUCCUCCCAUUCCAUAAUUAAAAUCGCCAUUAUUUUUCUUACAUUUUUUAAAACUCUCCAUUCCAUAAUCACAAUCCCCCAUACCCUAUUGUGCAAAUUGCUUCAGCAAACAAAAGUAAAAAAUAAUAAUUAAACUACAUAUCACCAUAUUUUAUGUUAAAUAAUAAAAUAAAAUCCACACCCCAACCAUUCCCUAAAUCUCAUCCUAGUCAUCCAAUUUUUCAUCAUUCUCUAACUCUCAAUCUUUUCCAUAACUUUCACUCCACUUCAAAUCUUUCCUAUUCCACAAAAAAAAUAAAAAUUCACAAAAAAUAAUAAUCUGGUGCUAGUUAUUUAUAUAAAUUUAAUGACUAAAAAUUAAAAAAUUAAAAAAAUAUAAAAUCAUAAAAAAGAGAAUUAAAGAAGAUGAGAGGAUUAUUUUGGGCUUUCAUAAAGAGAUGCUACCUAAGGUUCGAAGGGAUUU
This 547-nucleotide long non-coding RNA is filed under the name Linum usitatissimum (flax). Its description in RNAcentral is "long non-coding RNA (LUSI_LNC006252)". The record is from RNAcentral. Lineage: Eukaryota; Viridiplantae; Streptophyta; Magnoliopsida; Malpighiales; Linaceae.